GUGCUUCAAUAAUUGAUUAACAAUUCCUUGUUUGCUUUAGAUGUCUUGAUGGUUGACUUUUAAUUGGUUUGCUUUUCACAUGAUAUAGUAGAGUUGUUCAUGAAAUAAUAGGGAGGAGAAGUUGGAUGGUUAUGGCUGGAGGAGGGAGAAAGCAUGUGUGUACGAAAAGAGGGAGAGAGAGAGUAAGUGGGUAAGUGGGGAUCAUUAAUUUUUAUUAUUUUUUAAUAAUUCAUGCUAACUAAAGUUAAAAAUCUUCUGAUGUUAAUUAAAACUAUUAAUUCUUCAUCUGAUAUGACUAAUAUUAUUGAUUUGGUUACAUUUAAUUGACCGUUCUACGUGGUGGUAGAAUUAGUCUACCCAAAAAUUUCACAAGCCUCAGGGUUUGUCGGAAUGCAACUUGGUAUCACUCACUGUAUGACAAGUGUCCAAAUUGCAACCUGCACCCACCACGGUGGAUCUCGCUUUGUCUCUCUCUGUCAUUUUCUUUUCCUUUCACAGUAGCUGCGACGUCUGAGUAAUUCGGUAGUCGAUUUGUGUCGUCAGAACUCACAGUAAAGAAGAGUGAAGAAUGCGAGUGAUUCACUGAUUUCAGUGUAAUUUUGUGAUAUUUAAGUAUGGUA
This 620-nucleotide long non-coding RNA is filed under the name Elaeis guineensis (African oil palm). RNAcentral describes it as "long non-coding RNA (EGUI_LNC013531)". The record is from RNAcentral. Lineage: Eukaryota; Viridiplantae; Streptophyta; Magnoliopsida; Arecales; Arecaceae.